AUUUUUAUAUUUGCAGUAUCAGCAUCCAAAGAAGCUUGGGAUGACUAUAAUAGAUAUCUCUCGGACAAGAAGGCCAAUGAGAAAGAAGUUUGGGUUGUUAGGCAGGGCAUCAAAAAACAUCUCCAAGCACAGGAUAUCCAUGUUGGUAAUAUAGUGUGGCUUCGUGAAAAUGAUGAAGUUCCAUGUGAUCUUGUUUUGAUUGGU
This 204-nucleotide unclassified non-coding RNA is filed under the name Hevea brasiliensis (rubber tree). The record is from RNAcentral. Lineage: Eukaryota; Viridiplantae; Streptophyta; Magnoliopsida; Malpighiales; Euphorbiaceae.